This is a long non-coding RNA of Drosophila montana, 3306 nucleotides long. RefSeq lists it as uncharacterized. Lineage: Eukaryota; Metazoa; Arthropoda; Insecta; Diptera; Drosophilidae. The record is from RefSeq and is a predicted model, not a curated record. The transcript is spliced from 3 exons.
AGUUCUACAUUAACCGUGGGUUAGCUCAGGAGGCAAACGCAAAAGCGGGCAGCGUCUUUUUGUCAAUGAUUUUCAAGCUUUUCAGCAUUUCGUUCGUCUGCUGCUGAGUAUUCAGGCCAAAAACGUCGAAGGCGCUCAAAUUGAAUUUGUUUAGCCUGUUAAAAAAGGUUUCAAAAAUGAGUACGACCAAAAACUCACUUGUAUGGCCUUCCACAUGACGUACAAGGCGACUGUAUUGUCUGGAUAUUGGGUGAAGGCCAAUGAGGCCACCAGACCUGAAGGUACUGAAAAUAGAGCGUGAUCCCGAUUGAAGCAGUGGCGCAGUAGGCAGGACAUGGACUGAAAGAAGGAGAAGCUGCCCAUGAAGAUGCCCAGCUGUAAUGUGCCCCUGUUGAAGAUUUGUUUGCGCCACGGCAUACGACCUUGGAAUAUUGUUUUCAUAUUCAUCACCAGCUUUAAUGCCACUUGCAGCGCCACGCCGCCCGCAAAGGGACGCAAGCCACCCAAUAUGGCAUAGCUGGGGCAGCUCUGCUUAUGGCGGCAGCUUUCAUGCUUGGCGUGGAUUAGGUUGGUGUAGACACGCACCCAAUCGGCGGUGGUGGCGAAUCUGACGCUGGGUCGACGGCGUGAGGGUGCCGGCUGCUCGCCGGAUGCCAGGGGCUCGGAAAUCACCACCGGACCGGCCUCCUCUUUGCCCACAAAAAUGCGUAGUAUAUUGAAGAUGGAGUCGUCGUUUGCGCUUAUGCGGUACAAGUACAAAAGUACCGACAUGCUGCAGGCAAAUAUAAUUGUCUGGCCAUGAGCCACCGAACGCACCCAGUUCCGAGAUUCUGCCAUUUUCCAGAGUGCUUCCGUGGCAACAUUGGCAACAUAGAGCGUCAGCAGCGGACGGCGCGCCGGGCGCUCCACCAUAAUGGCUGUGAGCGAAGACAGAAACGAGGGCAAAAAGGCAACAGUGCCAAAGUAAUAGCGACCCAGUAGAUUGCGCAGCAAGCAAUUGUACAGGAUAAAGGUGUAGGCAUUGGUCACCAGAAAGGCUGUGGACUGCAUGAUGCCUAGCAGCGUGCGCUUUAAGUCCUCCAGCGUUGGUAUACGUUGGCGCAUCAGCAAUGAAAAGGCGUAGACGAUUGUGUAGACACGCAAACAAUAGGGCGUAGCUGAUAGCAAUAUGCCCGCCGUGGCAUUUACGCACUUAUCCGUCCAGGGAUGCUGAAACUCCUGGCAGGUAACGCACAGCGGAUCAAGCAGCUUGCUUUGAACGCCCAUUAUGAGUUGUAUACGACUGUGAACGAAUUAAUAAAAAUGCAUUAGUUACGUGCAGCUUAAUGGAGACAGGGCUAAGGCCAUAAGUCCGCAAGUUGGCCUUUAAUCUUAUCUAAUGAGCAUCGAUAAGGGGUUGUUGCGAUUUGCACCUUUGAUUUUGAUUGUAUCGAGGCAACAGCUAAAGAAAAAGCUAUAUAUAGUUCACAUAUGUAUCAAUCAAUUUCUUGAAAGCAUUUAUUUUUGUCAGUGAAAAUUAUUGGCUUAUCUUGUUGCGCUUGCGGGUCAAGCACAUAGUACACAGCUGAUAAAAAAGUCAUUGUACUCUGGCUUUCCACUUUAUGCUCUUCUCGAACUUAUCUGUGUGUUGUACUUACGCUUAAUGUCUAUUUUCAAAACCAGUUGUUGCUAAAUCGCAACUGUGCGUUUUAGUAGUAAAUUAUUCUAGCCAGAACACUUUAAUGACUUUGGACUCAAAGCGGAAAUAAUUGAGAACUUACUGUGUGUCAAAUGCACUGAUUUGUGCUGAAACUGCUACUGCGUUCCAUUAAAAUGUAAACAAAACAAUUAAAACAGCUGUCCGCAGUGUGACCGUAGCCUCUUUCUGUGUUUAAGCCGCCAACGUUUUUGGAAAAUAUCAACCUUUGAACUUUGGUUAAGUUAAGUUUUAUGGCAUUUGAGUUUAUUUCAAUCCGCAGCCUUAAUUGAAUUGUGGCUUUUUAAACAUAAUCUGUUGUAUUUUCAAGCAUUUUAUAAUAGCGCAUGUGUUUUUUAAAAAUAAUGCAGUUUCGCAACAAGUAAAAAUAUCGAGUAACAUGACCAUAAGUCCAGCUGUCUAUUGGUAUAUAUUUAGAAGAAAUACAUAAUAGUUUGUAUGUCUUAACUGCGCACUGUAAGGCAGCAUUAAAACUGCAAUUUAUUUAGCUUUAAAAUGCCUAAUACGCGGCAAGCGUGUCUGCGACGUGUCAAGGCCUUCUAAACAUGUUAACCGCUUUCUAAUUUAAAUAUCGAUAUAUUGCCGGCAUUUGUUACGAUAGUUAGUGCUAUCGCACACGGGUGUUGUAGCAGUUAGCUUCGUACUGUAGACUGUAUUGCUUUUCCAUGUGAUUUGUGAGACAAUUGGCGCGCUAUUAGUAUAAUUUUAUUAUAAAUCUUAAUUUUGUGUUGUGAUAAUUAUAAUUGUAUGGGUACUGACUUAAUUGCUACCAUAAGGAUUACCAUGGCAAUUACAAUUCCUGUUGCCUUGAAGGCACAGUGCACAACAGAGGAGCCCUUGGUAUGCUUAAAUUUGUGCAUUAUAUACACGUACAUACAUACAUAUGUAUGUAUGUAUUAAUAGUCUAAUUUGAAUCACAAGUUGUGAAGAGAAUUGUUUGGGGGCGUGCUGCGUACGCUUUUCUAAGGUGUCCUGCCCAGAGUUGCGUCGACAUACUUGACAUUGCUCAGGGAAUAACAAAAUAUUUCCUUCAGGUGAAGGGUUAUGGUUAAGAGAUGCUUGCCCUUACCUGUGGGCAGGCUUAUUUCGCAAAACUUACGUUCCUAAGUAGUUGCCCAUCACGGAAUAUGAAGGAGUAGAUGCUCUCGCUGCUGCAUAGCGUUUGCUUUUGUUGUUUUGGGUUAGCUGCUUAGGAAAAUUGCGGUUGCCAUUGUGUGAUUUCCGCCUUUAGGGCUUAGGCAGUCAGUUGCCACGGACAACAGCCCCUCAUUCAAGCUCCCGACAGCGAUUGGGGCAUUCAUUUCAUGCAUACCGUCAUUGGGUGGCAGCUACUUACCUAAUUUACUCGAGGUGCUCCUUGGCUGUGUGAAUAAAUCUUUGCGUUUGACAUGCCACUUUCCGCUAAAUACGCACUUCAAGUUAAUAGCGUUGGAGCUUGCCGUGUGUUGGGGAUUGGGGUUGUGCUGGCGGCUGUGCCAAUGCCAGAGGCCAAAGAUACUCUCAGCAUUGACAUUACCUGCAGCUUGUGCAGGCUCAAUUGGCAAACGAUUAAAUCCUGAUGCCUGUUUAAAUUUUUUAUUAAAAUUAUAUAAGAAAAUUAAUGCUUUAAA